UUUCAUUCCUUCAAUAGGCCGGCGGCCAGCUUUCAGCCCACUACGGCAUGACUCUCCCCGAUCCAAUAGCCCUGGUUUCUUUAAAUCAAAGCUUUAGCUUGAAAAGCUCUGAUAACAAUGGAGCUUAGCGCAAGGCGAUUCAGUGAGGACGUGGGCUUACGCCUGUUGCACAGUAGUCAGAUUUGCAAUUCACUAGUAUAUGAUGUUAGCUAAUGCCCGAUGGAUC
Molecule: long non-coding RNA, 226 nt
Filed under: Setaria italica (foxtail millet)
Lineage: Eukaryota; Viridiplantae; Streptophyta; Magnoliopsida; Poales; Poaceae
Description: long non-coding RNA (SITA_LNC003423)
Source: RNAcentral